AGUGAACGCUGGCGGUAGGCCUAACACAUGCAAGUCGAACGGCAGCACAGUAAGAGCUUGCUCUUACGGGUGGCGAGUGGCGGACGGGUGAGGAAUACUUCGGAAUCUACUUUUUCGUGGGGGAUAACGUAGGGAAACUUACGCUAAUACCGCAUACGACCUACGGGUGAAAGCAGGGGAUCUUCGGACCUUGCGCGAUUGAAUGCGCCGAUGUCGGAUUAGCUAGUUGGCGGGGUAAAGGCCCACCAAGGCGACGAUCCGUAGCUGGUCUGAGAGGAUGAUCGGCCACACGGGAACUGAGACACGGUCCAGACGCCUACGGGAGGCAGCAGUGGGGAAUAUUGGACAAUGGGCGCAAGCCUGAUCCAGCCAUACCGCGUGUGUGAAGAAGGCCUUCGGGUUGUAAAGCCGUUUUGUUGGGAAAGAAAAGCAGCAGGUUAAUACCCCGCUGUUCUGACGGUACCCAAAGAAUAAGCACCGGCUAACUUCGUG
Molecule: ribosomal RNA, 492 nt
Filed under: uncultured bacterium
Lineage: Bacteria
Description: partial 16S ribosomal RNA
Rfam family: Bacterial small subunit ribosomal RNA
Source: RNAcentral